This is a non-coding RNA of Drosophila melanogaster (fruit fly), 997 nucleotides long. The record is from Ensembl. Lineage: Eukaryota; Metazoa; Arthropoda; Insecta; Diptera; Drosophilidae.
UAGCUUCGUUCGUUCGUGUUGAAAAGACAUUAAAACUAAAUUGUAGAAAAAUGUCCUAAAUAGAUUAAAAAUGUUUUCCGAGUGCAUUUAGAGAGGAGGAGGGAAAGGAGCAACAAAAACACAGCGUGUUUAACGAGCCAUUUGCCGCUUUGGCGCUGAACUUGCUAAUUGAAUUAGAGCCGCUCGCUUCCUCGUUCAGUGGCUCGUUCUUCCAUGGUUCACAGGAUGACUAUGACGAUGAGGACGAGUAUGAAGAUGAGGAUGAGGUUGUGCAUGUGAAUGUCGAUGGGAACGGGAUGAUGGAGAUGAGGAUGCUCCGGCGGCAGGAUGUGAGCUCUAGCAACAACAAAGACUUGGGCGAUUCCGAGGGGCAGGGAGAAAAUCGGGAGCAAAGCGUAUUUGGUUGCUAAACGCUUUGGCAUGCCGCAUGCCUCAGGGGCUCACCACCACUCACCCGACUACCCAACCACCAUUCCGCCCAUCGACUGGAAUCCUUACACCACGCCCGCAGGAUUCAAUUAAGUGUAAGUGCGCCGGGCACACUCACACAAACACACACACACACAACCCCGCCGUAAAGAGCAAGUUCGCCAGGACCAAAAGUCUUGCAACAGUAUCGCCCUAAUGAGCAGCAAACGCUCGUCACCCGCCAACAAAUCGGGGAAAAAAACUUGCUAACUGUCGGAUAGAUAGUUGAAUUCACGAAAAUCCGCCUCUCGGCCAUUAUCGGUUAUGAUUAGCCGGGUACUCGUUGCCGAUGUCGUAAAAGUUCGAACAUUGCCAGUCUCUUCUGGCUACUGGAUUGGCCCCCAAAUGAGGACGAUAGGACCGGCAACUGAGUGGCAGGCAGGCAGGCAGCCCGCCUCACAUGAAAAGAGGACGAAUUUUUAAGCCACAGAUGGCUCACUGAAUAAAAUUCCAUCCUCGAUUUCGAGUCAGUCUUUGAAACCCUUAAGUAAGCCCCAAUUGAUGUAGGCCGUGCUACGCAAUUGUCCGG